RNAcentral lists this ribosomal RNA (251 nucleotides) under uncultured bacterium. RNAcentral's name for it is "partial 16S ribosomal RNA". It matches the Rfam family "Bacterial small subunit ribosomal RNA", at positions 524 to 776 of the family's 1533-position model. The record is from RNAcentral.
UACGUAGGGUGCAAGCGUUGUCCGGAAUUAUUGGGCGUAAAGAGCUCGUAGGCGGUCUGUCGCGUCGGCUGUGAAAUCCCGAGGCUCAACCUCGGGUCUGCAGUCGAUACGGGCAAACUAGAGUAUUGCAGGGAGACUGGAAUUCCUGGUGUAGCGGUGAAAUGCGCAGAUAUCAGGAGGAACACCGGUGGCGAAGGCGGGUCUCUGGGCCGAUACUGACGCUGAGGAGCGAAAGCGUGGGAGCGAACGGG